RNAcentral lists this non-coding RNA (167 nucleotides) under bovine gut metagenome. The record is from RNAcentral.
AGGUAGACGGUGCCUGUUUUUUGCAGGUUAAAAGGGAAACAGUAAAACUGUGCGAACUCGUCACUGUAGUUACGGAGUAUGACAGCUAUUUUUUGUCACUGGGUAGUACCGGGAAGGCGUGCUGUCAUAUGUUGAUGUAUUAGCCAGGAGACCUGCCGUUUAUAAAU